GAAGAAGAGCUGGCACCCCCAGACCCUGCGCAAUGCGGAGAAGGUGCGGAAGGCCGAGCGCAAGAAGAUGGAGGAGCGAGCGCGUGAGGAGACGCGGCGAUGCGCUGAGGACACGGGCGCCCUCCGCACUGCGGUCGCGCACGCAGGGAGGGCUGGAUAGUGGAUUCACUCCACAGCCGUGAGGCGGGACAGAGGUACCUGAACAGGGCUUUGGGAGGUGCAGGCCCUUCCACGGAGCAGGCGAGCGGUCGUGGCUUCUUCCCAGCAGACCUGGAACCCCCGGAAGGGUACAACGGGCGCUCUGGCCGUCAGCGCAGCGCUCCAAGCCGGCGGCUGAAGUCGAUCCCUUUCUUCCCGAGCGGUGACCACCUUUCCGGUCCACCAGUGACGAAGGAGCUGUUCCUCGGACCUGGGGAGAGAUGCAGAGACCUGCUUACGAGUAAGAAACCACCGCUGAAAUAAAGGUGUUCUCCCUCGAUCUAUUUUAA
Aptenodytes forsteri (emperor penguin) is the source of this 488-nucleotide long non-coding RNA. RefSeq lists it as uncharacterized. The transcript has 3 exons. NCBI's taxonomy places the organism in Eukaryota, Metazoa, Chordata, Aves, Sphenisciformes, Spheniscidae. The record is from RefSeq and is a predicted model, not a curated record.